This 253-nucleotide ribosomal RNA is filed under the name uncultured bacterium. Its description in RNAcentral is "partial 16S ribosomal RNA". It matches the Rfam family "Bacterial small subunit ribosomal RNA", at positions 524 to 776 of the family's 1533-position model. The record is from RNAcentral.
GACGUAGGGCGCGAGCGUUGUCCGGAUUUAUUGGGCGUAAAGAGCUCGUAGGCGGCUUGUUGCGUCAGCUGUGAAAUCCCCAGGCUCAACCUGGGAACUGCGUCCGAUACUGGCAGGCUUGAAUCCGGGAGAGGGAUGUGGAAUUCCAGGUGUAGCGGUGAAAUGCGUAGAUAUCUGGAGGAACACCGGUGGCGAAGGCGGCAUCCUGGACCGGUAUUGACGCUGAGGCGCGAAAGCUAGGGGAGCAAACGGG